GAUGAACGCUGGCGGCGUGCCUAACACAUGCAAGUCGAGCGAAGCACUUACUUUAGAUUUCUUCGGAAUGACGAAGUUUGUGACUGAGCGGCGGACGGGUGAGUAACGCGUGGGCAACCUGCCCUGUACAGGGGGAUAACAGUUAGAAAUGACUGCUAAUACCGCAUAAGCCCACAGCUUCGCAUGAAGCAGUGGGAAAAACUCCGGUGGUACAGGAUGGGCCCGCGUCUGAUUAGCUAGUUGGUAAGGUAACGGCUUACCAAGGCGACGAUCAGUAGCCGACCUGAGAGGGUGACCGGCCACAUUGGGACUGAGACACGGCCCAAACUCCUACGGGAGGCAGCAGUGGGGAAUAUUGCACAAUGGGGGAAACCCUGAUGCAGCGACGCCGCGUGAGCGAUGAAGUAUUUCGGGAUGUAAAGCUCUAUCAGCAGGGAAGAAAGUGACGGUACCUGACGAAGAAGCCCCGGCUAACUACGUG
This 481-nucleotide ribosomal RNA is filed under the name uncultured bacterium. Its description in RNAcentral is "partial 16S ribosomal RNA". It matches the Rfam family "Bacterial small subunit ribosomal RNA", at positions 28 to 507 of the family's 1533-position model. The record is from RNAcentral.